RNAcentral lists this transfer RNA (91 nucleotides) under Herbidospora sp. NBRC 101105. RNAcentral's name for it is "tRNA-Asn". The record is from RNAcentral. Lineage: Bacteria; Bacillati; Actinomycetota; Actinomycetes; Streptosporangiales; Streptosporangiaceae.
GCGUGGGCUUGGGCGUCGGCUCCUCGCCGUCCGGGACGUUCUCCCGGUCGGGCCAUGGCCGGUCGGCCGGAUCGUCUCCGGCGCUCUCGUU